This 253-nucleotide ribosomal RNA is filed under the name uncultured bacterium. RNAcentral describes it as "partial 16S ribosomal RNA". It matches the Rfam family "Bacterial small subunit ribosomal RNA", at positions 524 to 776 of the family's 1533-position model. The record is from RNAcentral.
UACGUAGGAAGCAAGCGUUGUUCGGAGUUACUGGGCGUAAAGGGUGCGUAGGCUGCUAUUUAAGUCUGGUGUGAAAUCUCCCGGCUCAACCGGGAGGGUGCGCCGAAUACUGAGUGGCUAGAGUACGGGAGAGGAAAGUGGAAUUCCUGGUGUAGCGGUGAAAUGCGUAGAUAUCAGGAGGAACACCGGUGGUGUAAACGGCUUUCUGGACCGUAACUGACGCUGAGGCACGAAAGCGUGGGUAGCAAACAGG